This 231-nucleotide ribosomal RNA is filed under the name uncultured bacterium. RNAcentral describes it as "partial 16S ribosomal RNA". It matches the Rfam family "Bacterial small subunit ribosomal RNA", at positions 104 to 334 of the family's 1533-position model. The record is from RNAcentral.
CGGGGUGGAGGUAAUGCUUGGGAAUCUAGCUUAUGAGGGGGAGUAACUACGGGAAACUGUAGCUAAUACCGCGUAAUAUCGAGAGAUUAAAGUGUGGGACCUUCGGGCCACAUGCCAUAGGAUGAGCCCAAGUGGGAUUAGGUAGUUGGUGAGGUAAAGGCUCACCAAGCCGACGAUCUCUAGCUGGUCUGAGAGGAUGACCAGCCACACUGGGACUGAGACACGGCCCAG